RNAcentral lists this long non-coding RNA (649 nucleotides) under Trifolium pratense (red clover). RNAcentral's name for it is "long non-coding RNA (TPRA_LNC010856)". The record is from RNAcentral. Lineage: Eukaryota; Viridiplantae; Streptophyta; Magnoliopsida; Fabales; Fabaceae.
UUGUUUUUCUUAUAAACAUUGUCGUAAGUUAUUUGUUUGUUAAAAUUAAUCUUGUUGUUGUGGUUGAUUCGUGAGUAUGAUAAAUCAAACUAAAUCUGCAGCUUCUCUUUGAUAUUCAUUCAUAGAGUCCUAUUUUGAUCUCUAUAUAGUUAUUUAUUUGUCUGUUAAAAUUAAUCUUGUUGUGUUUGAUUCAUGAGUAUUCAAAAUUUGAAACUUUUCUUUGAUAUUCAUUCAUAGAGUCCUAUAUAUUUUGAUCUGUCUAUAGUUAUUUGUAUUUAAAAUUAGUUGUGUUUGAUUCAUGAGUAUUAUAUAAGAGCUAUUCUUCAGAGUUUCUAUUAAAUUAGUAACUUAGUAACAAAGAGAAAGGAAAUUACUAUUUGUAUAAUUGAUUUUAUAUAAUUGUGUAGGAAUUACUAUUUGUGUGCUUCUUGCAAUAUGGAAAUUAUUAACAACAGUCCUGAAAUAUCUGAUAAUGAGGAAGAGGAUAAUGUUAGUCAAGCUAGAGAAGUUCCACCUCAAAAUGCAGAAGAACAAGAAGUGGCUUCUAAACCAAAAAAGGCCAAGAAGCGUAAGACUAAGAGGUCUAAUCAGGAUGAGUGUAAGCCUAAGGCCCUAACAUCUGAUUGUUGGACAUAUUUUGAUAAAGUUG